RNAcentral lists this non-coding RNA (97 nucleotides) under Butyrivibrio proteoclasticus. RNAcentral describes it as "THF-I sequence". It matches the Rfam family "THF (Tetrahydrofolate) riboswitch aptamer". Rfam says of the family: THF riboswitch presents a pseudoknot that joins P1-P2 and the loop of P3 and two THF binding. The record is from RNAcentral. Lineage: Bacteria; Bacillati; Bacillota; Clostridia; Lachnospirales; Lachnospiraceae. RNAcentral also lists the same sequence under 1 other name.
UGCAGAGUAGAAAUUUAAGCGUUAAGUGCCGGGUGAACAGGGAGUUGUCAUCAGGACGAAGGAUUUUUCCGCGGUUUAAGUUUCGCAUCCCGCUGCU